AGCUCCAAUAGCGUAUAUUAAAGUUGUUGCAGUUAAAAAGCUCGUAGUUGGAUUUCGGAGUGGGCCAGUUGGUCCGCCGCAAGGUGUGUUACUGACUGGUCUGCUCUUCUUCGCAAAGACUGCGUGUGCUCUUUGUUGAGUGUGCGUAGGAUUUACGACGUUUACUUUGAAAAAAUUAGAGUGUUCAAAGCAGGCUUAGGCCGUUGGAUACAUUAGCAUGGAAUAAUGAGAUAGGGCCACGGCGGUCUAUUUUGUUGGUUUGCACGUUGUGGUAAUGAUUAACAGGAACGGUUGGGGGUAUUCGUAUUCAAUUGUCAGAGGUGAAAUUCUUGGAUUUGUGGAAGACGAACUACUGCGAAAGCAUUUACCAAGGAUGUUUUCAUUAAUCAAGAACGAAAGU
This 400-nucleotide ribosomal RNA is filed under the name phytoplankton environmental sample. RNAcentral's name for it is "partial small subunit ribosomal RNA". It matches the Rfam family "Eukaryotic small subunit ribosomal RNA", at positions 587 to 990 of the family's 1831-position model. The record is from RNAcentral.